GGCUCGGUAGCUUAGUUGAUAAAGCGCUCGUCUAGCAUACAAGAGUCCUGGGUUCAAGUCCCAGCCGAGCAC
Molecule: transfer RNA, 72 nt
Filed under: Aedes aegypti (yellow fever mosquito)
Lineage: Eukaryota; Metazoa; Arthropoda; Insecta; Diptera; Culicidae
Rfam family: tRNA
About the family: Transfer RNA (tRNA) molecules are approximately 80 nucleotides in length.
Source: Rfam by way of RNAcentral